RNAcentral lists this long non-coding RNA (14892 nucleotides) under Homo sapiens (human). RNAcentral's name for it is "long non-coding RNA NONHSAT142591.2". Lineage: Eukaryota; Metazoa; Chordata; Mammalia; Primates; Hominidae. The record is from RNAcentral.
UGUAACUCAUCUCUCCCAGCUUAGGUCCUGUGGAGACAAGCUGUCAUAGGGCUGACACAACCAAAUCAAGAAAGGAAAGAGUAGAAUUUAUAGUGAAAAUCAGGAAGCUACUUAAAAUGGUGGGUUUCUCAGAAUGUGGUACUGCACAUUUUUUGCUUGGUAGUCCCUGAACAGUUAUUAAAGACCCCAUGGAAGCAGAUGGAUGCUGGCCAGUAGGCAUUGUCCCCUUUUAUAUUUAUAACUUCACUGACCUUCAUUUUACCUCUAAUAGAGAUUGUACCAUUAAUUGGCUGGAUUCUCCCAAGCUCUGUGGCAAGUAAGAAUGGAAAAGUGGAUUUUCUCCGUACUCCAUUGCAGAGGAUAUCAUUAAUUUGCUAGGUUUCGUUCCCACAGGGAAAUGUUAAAAACCAGUACAGUUGGUUCUUCGCCACUCUGGAUUGACAGACAUUCUUUGUGUAGGUGCCUCUGGCUUUGAGAAACGAGGCCAGAGUCUAUAUGCAGACAGUGAGCAGUGAUCUUCCGUUUCCUACUUGUUGCAGUAGACAUAAAAUCAGGGCAAAUGGUGAGUUCCAGAGGAAAGGAUCCAGCAUGCAGCCUGCUGAAUAAGAGAACAGGAAUGAUCUCGAAUGAUGAUAAAUGUUUAUACUCUAUUAGAGCUUUGGCCAUGGGUUUGGCCACCAUUCAAUUGCCUCUACAGCUGAUUUUUUAUGUGGCUUUUCUUUUCUUUCUCCUGUUUGGUUGCAAACUUAUUUUGACUGAGGAUUUACUUGUCACCUCAUGUUGACAUUUCAAGUUAUUGCAUUGAGAAAAACAUAGGAGAAAGCAAACAAGCAAGUAUAUUCCAACGGUCAACAGGCACAGAAGUCAUACUCACAUUUCAAAGAAAAACAGGAGAGUUGAAAUAGAGAAUGGAGAACAGAUGUAUUUAUGAGGGGGGAAAUCUUCUUGGCAUUUGAGCUCAAGUCAGAUUCUGGAUUCUGGAUAGUUUUCUCAGCUAAUGGUGAUUCCUAGGACUGCUAAGCGGGGGACAUUCUGGUCUAACCGAAGUUGCCAUGUAAUUCUGUGGAAUCAUACUAACAUUUUGAUUUCUCUGAUUAUAAGUGACUGCAGCAACAAAGAGAGUAACUCUGUUGUAAGAACUGUUUCCACAGUGUCUCUAGGGACAGUUUUGCUUUAGUCUGUAAAUUCUCCAAAGGCAAGCUGAGACUAUGUAAAUUAAAGAAAUAGAGCCAGUGACAACCAACCCUGUGGUUUUAUUUGAUUUUCCAAAACACAUGUCCAUCGGUAUGUCUCAGACAACACGAUAUGAUUAAAGCACGGUAAUAAUCACCCAUAUAUUGCAUUUUAAUUGGUAUAAUGUAUGAUGAAUAGUGAAGUUGGAACCAUGGGGCAUACUUUCACAUUUAAGGUAUUUCUUUGAUUUAUCAGAAUUUCUAAGAACAUAAAAUAGAAGUCAGAAAGUCUGUUUUCUGAGCUGGGACCUGCCAUUCAUCAGCUGUGUGAUCUUGGGUAUGUUACUUUAUUUCUCUGGGCCCCAUUUUCCCCAGCUAUAAAAUGAGGGGUUUAAACUAGAUGAGCUCUAAAGAGCUUUUCACUUCGGAGUUUGGCUAUUCCAAGACCUUUUCUAGUCUUGUGAAUUUAAUUACUGAAUUCUGGGAUCUUAAGUCUCUUUAUCAGUUGAGUCUCCUCCUUUGUGGUCUUACAGCAAAGAUGACUGUUGGCCAAACUUUGGAUUUCUGAGACUGAUUUCAGUGAAUUGCAUUAUACAUAUUUUUAACUAGCUUAUAUUAAAUGAGAGAAAGUGCAAGGAAGGAAUUGCAACCACAAUUUAAAUAGUUUUUUCCGUGCCAUUCUAUUCCGUGAGCACCUGCCUUGGAGUAGGUGUGAAACGGGAGUCAGGAAGUCUGUGCAUGCCUCUCAGAGGGUGGUAUCUUCGUCUUCUGAGUAUGAUUCCGUACCAUGAAUAUGUUGGUUGUGGAUUUUUCUUUUCUGUACAACAUGAGGCCCCUAAACAUAAGGAAACUACUUCCUUUGGUGCUUAACCUAAGAAGCAUCUAUUCUAAUGAUGGAGGAAAACCUAGCUGUAUUACACAUACUGAAAGUGAUAUAGUGGGUUACAAAGUGACAGGUAAAUAUUUGUGUUCCAUUUAAGUGGUUUGUGAGUAUAAUUUUGAUUUUUCCUAACUGUUGCUUUCUCUAAUGAUUUUAGAACCGGAUAACCCCUCCCCUUUCCCCUACUCUCCAAGCAUAGGAUAGAGCUCAUCUAUAAAAUUCAUUGGAUUUUGUGUUUUUGCUCUUCUAGUUGGUCUCUGAAAUGGUCAGAAUGGAGUUGGAAAUGGGACAGCCUAUUAGUCCAAUCUACUUCUAAGGCUCCUGAACAGCCUCACAAGACUCCAUGCAUCCCAGCAUCCCUUGGGACCUGGGUGAUUAGUUUGUGAUCAACAGAUUGUACUCUCAGAAAACGUGCAAGCCACCAGCCUCUCGUUCAAACUGUUUAUAGGCCCCAGAAGGGGCUUCCUUUGGGCCAGAUGAUUAGUCACAUUUUGUUUCAAACACCCGAGGAAAGGUACAGCAGCUUUCUACUUGAAUGCAUGCUUUUACCACCUAAAGGCAAUUGGUUGGGAGAAGAUUUGGGAGAAGACAUUGACAGUGUCCAGCAGUCCUUUUAUCUGUUAUAAAGCUAAAUGCAUGUUUAUCAAGUUUUCAGCAAAGAUAUAUGUUCCACUUUAGCCUCCUUAUUCUUAUUUUCCACUUAGAGGUAGAGACUGGGUCUCACCAUGUUGCCCAGGCUGGUCUUCAACUCCUGGGCUCAGGCUCAAGUGAUCCUCCGACCUCGGCCUCCUGAAGUGCUGGGAUUACAGGCAUGAGCCACUGUGUCUGGCCACAAUACACACUUGACUGUCAUUUAUAAACUCAAAUGACUCAGCUAUCAAGAUGCCAAAUUGGAUUUUAGAGAGCCUCCUCCUAGGCACCUGAUACUUUCAUGCUUGGCUUAUUGUACGAGGUAACUCCACUUUCUGUUCAUCUCAAAAGUGUUGGGAAGUGUUUGCAGGUUACCUUCCUAGCACCUGCCCAACCUUCUAGAGAAGUGGAGAAACCUGUGAGGAAAGCAGCACAGGCGUUGCCACUUAGGGACAGUUUCAUGGAAAGAGAUCUCUACUUCUUGAUGUCACAUUACCCUUUAGAAUUCCAGAAUCACUUCAGAUCUUCAAAGCUUUUAAUAAGCAGCGAUGGCCUUUUACAAUUAUUUUUUAAAGCAGCAAUACUUAAAAUUUUAUUAAGUGCUGUCGUAGAAACUUGUGUCUACAAAAGACAGAUAAAAACAAGUGUUGAUGAGGAUAGAGAAAAAUUGGAGCCCUCAUACAUUACUAGUGAGGAUGUAAAAUAGUGCAGCCACUCUGGAAAAUAGUGUAGAAGACCCUUUUUAAAAGUUAAAUAUAGAAUUACCCUAAAAAGCACAGGCUUUUGUUGACUUUCCCUGGGGGUCAGGUGGGCUCACCUUGGUGCAUCCUCCCCUGGGGGGCUCUGGUGUGGGAAGCCAGCUUUCCUACCAUUCUGCAUGCAGCCUUGUACUGGGUCCUUGGGGAAAGAGAAAGACUGUGAAAUAGAUGUUUCCCUUUUCCCAGAAAUACCAACCCAAGAUCCCCAGCAGUGACCCCUUAUGGAAUUCUGGGAAGAACUAAAGAGAUAACAGUAUUCUUUCCUGCCUUUUAUCAACUCUGGAUGGCAGGAGGGACUCUGGGGCUUGGGACUGGCUGCCCUCAGGAGUUCAUGGCCUAGUACUGAUGCCAAGGGGCAGAAAUUUGUGAGAAAGAAGGCCUCCUCCAGGAGCUGUUGGUAUGAGCCCCUAAUGGGAUCAUGAUAUCCUACAUAUGCAACUAUGGGAAGAAGAAAGGAUCUAGCCAACAUCUGUUAUUAUAUUUUAAAAAGUAAUUUAAUUUGUUUACAUUACUUGUCAUUAUUGUCACCCACUUAUAUUUGAUUAUUCUUUAAGCACAUAUAGAAAGAUGAGGUUUAUGUUGAUUUUUCUGGUAUUACAUUUCCCUAGGCUACAUCUCCAUAUAGAGCUUUCCUUUUUUAAAAUCUGUUCUUUAUUUUUUAUAGAGACAGGGUCUUGCUAUGUUGCCCAAGCCAGUCUCAAACUUCUGGCCUCAAGUGAUCCUCCAGCCUCAGCCUCCAAAAGCUCUGGAAUUACAGGCAAGAGCCACUGUGCCCAACCUCCCCAUAUAGAAUUUUCUAUAGCAAUCUUGUCCUAGGAAAUAUCAUAGAAAUAGUUUAGGUUUUAAAAAGAAGGGCUGUAUGUCAUCUAAACUCUUAUUUAACCUAUGGUUGACAGCCUUGCUAUUAAAAAAAGAUCUUAAGUUGUUUUACAUUUUAUAGUCUUUUUAAAAAAAGAUGAUGAGACAUCUCUUUAGUGGUUGCCAUGUUUAAUAUUGUUACUUUCUAAGAACAAAUAUAAUUUUUGUGAGAACAUUAUAUUACUCUGAAACAGAGAACAGUACUCUCUGUCCUUUUAGUCCCUCAAUUUUUGAUAAGGUAAAAUAAGAUUAUCUUAUAUGACUAGUGUAUACUACCUUAUAUUUGUAUGACACUCCAUGUUUUUCAAUGACUUUCUUCCAGAGUUUUUGUUGAAACACAAAAGGAUUUGUACCCAAACUGACUUUACUUUCAAUUCUGGAUAAUAGAUAAUUAUUAUUGCAUUACAACUUUUAAAAAUAAUUAAGAAAUCAGCUUAGAAAAUGCUUGAUGAUUUUUACUUAGCAUGGUACGUCUUUAGGGAAAAGACCGUAUUAUGAAUUUAGCAAGCAAGUUGAGCAUGGUGACAUCCGCCUGUAAUCCCAGCUACUUGAGAGGCGGAGGGGGGAGGAUCACUUGGGCCUGGGAGUUCCAGACUACAGUGAGUUAUGAAGGGACCCACUGCACUGCAGCCUGGGCAACAGAGCAAGACCCUGCAAAUAAAUAAAUAAAUAAAUAAAUAAAUAAAUGUCGUGGUUUUUUUUUAAUUUAGCAAGUAAAGUAGCAGAAUAUCCUAUGUUGGAUUAGUCAGUGGAAAAAAAUAUCUUUCAAAUCGCAUUUGAUGUUUGCUCACCAUUAUUAUGAACUAAGCUACUCCAUGGAACUAGAGCAUAGCUGUCAAGUAAUUAUGAAGCGCCCAUGCUAGGGACCGCAUGCCAUUUAAUGAGUUUACAUCAGUAAAAAGAGAGGACAGAUUCAAAAAUGGGACAUGUCACACAUACAUGUGAGAAUUUUCCCAUAGGCCAAAGGGCCUCUUUCUUGGUUUUGAUAUCAGGCACCAACUCUAAUAGGAUGAAGCUAUCUGUGUAGCUUGAUGAAGUAGAAAUUCAUUGGAGUGGCCGGGCACAGUGGCUCACACCUGUAAUCCCAGUACUUUGGGAGGCUGAGGCGAGCGGAUCAUGAGGUGAGGAGAUCAAGACCAUCCUGGCUAGUACAGUGAAACCCCAUCUCUACUAAAAAUACAAAAAAUUAGCCGGGCAUGGUGGCAGGUGCCUGUAGUCGCAGCUACUUGGGAGGCUGAGGCAGGAGAAUGGUGUGAACCUGGGAGGCAGAGCUCACAGUGAGCCGAGAUCGCGCCACGGCACUCCAGCCUGGGCCACAGAGCGAGGCUCCGUCUAAAAAAAAAAAAAAAAAAAAAGAAACAAAUUCAUUGGAGUACCUUAGCAUUAUGGGAUAUCUCUAGGCAGCGCCAGGUUUCUUGUCUUCAUAGCUAAGAUAGAUGUUAAAGGAAGGGGAACCUUUUUCUAUCCCAUUUUUCUAGUGGCCUUUAUAGGACUUGGCUUAAUAUUUUUAUUUUAUUUUAUAUUAUUAAAUUAAUAUAUUUUUAUUUUAUAAAAUAAAAAUAUUAAGCCAAGUCCUAUGAAGGCCAGCAGAUUUUAUUUUAUAUAUAUAAAUUUUUUAAAAUAUGAAAUAAAUAUAUAAUACAUAUAUAAAUAUAUUUUUAAAAUAUGUAAUAUACAUAUAUGUAUGUGUACACACAGUGUGUGUACACUUGUUAUAUUAUUACUUAUCCUAGUAUAUUAAUGGCUAUAUAACAUAGCUGUGUCCCAAAUACAUGUAAUACAUAUUACUUUUCAUCUCAUUUAAACCUCACGAGAGUUCUUUGGUGAAGAUAUGAUUACCAUUUUACAGAUGAGAAAACCUGAGAAGAAUAGAAGUUAAGUAGCAUGCCAAGCUUACCCAACUAGCUCUCAUUCAUUCAUUCAUGAUUCAUGAAGUAUUUAUCAAACAACUACUAUAUACUGUCAUUAAAGAUACAAAAAGGAUCAAACAUAAUCCUUGCCUUCAAAGAAGCCACAGUCUAAGGUUAACAAGUGGACUGGAGCGGAAUUUGGUUUUAUCAUUUCAAAGGCAAAGGAACCCAGAUUGGAGAGUUUUCUGGCAACUGCCUUAGGACUUUUUGGCCAAGAUUAAUGUAAUAUAUAAAGGUAAGCAUCAAUGUGUUGGUGGGAAGAAGUAUCCUAGAAAUGUUUUUUGUUUUUUACUGUAUCUAGGACUCUUAUGAACUACUAAUUCAUUAUUAAGUUAUUUGAUGACACAGAUUAUUGUUCAAGAAUUUCCUCCCAGAGCAAUUGAUAAAUAUCAAAUAAUUUUUAUGAUGAGCAGUUCCAGAAAGGGUUAAAGUUAGCUUCUCUGGGACAUAUGAUGGGAAAGUAGCUGAACAUGAUUUCAAAGGGAUUUUUUAGGAGAAAAUUCCAAUUAACAGAGAAGUAAUUUCCCUUUCUAGCUUACUAAGCCCUAUUUCAGACUAAUGCAGUUUCAAGAUCAUCUCCCUUCUCCCCUUAUUUCAACAGAUAUUUUGAAUAUGAAAAUCUUAUGUCAAAACUUAGCUGAAGCCUUCAUCAGGCUUUUGAAAGGCUAAGUAAGAAUUCUGUUUCUAGGAAUAAAAAGAUUUGGAUCAGAAAGAUUCUUUGCUGGCUAGAGUUCCUUUUCGGAUGGUAGUUCAAGCAGUCUUUAAUCAUAUUUUUGUUGAUUAUUUAUUAGUUUCCCUGGGAAAUCAAAGACUCAGUAACGUAAAAUGUGUUUUCCUUAAGAUAUUUUAUGAAUCAGAACCCACAGUAAAGAAAUAAUGGGAAAUACAUUUCCUUUGCUGAUAUGGACUAAUUGAGAAUUAAAAUCCCUUUCUCUAGUCAUUAUCCCACAUGGAAAUGCUGAAUGACCCAACUGGCCCAAUUGCACCAACCACAGUUUCUGCCUAGACAAAACUCUUAUGCCACUAGUAGAUAAAGAGAGAGCUUUCUCAGUAAAUCAAAACUGCAGAGAACUAGAACUAAUUUAAGUGAAAGGAUAGGCUCCAAGCCCGCUGUUUGGGUAAACCCACACUGAACCAAGUGAGCGAUUGAUGAAACUUAAUAUAUGUGUAUUCCAGUCAUCAGCCUGGAGUAUGUGUAAUGCAAGCCCAUGGUGUUUGUCACUGUGAGAAAUGGAAAGGCAGACCUUCAUUCUCAACUGUGUGGGGCUGCUAGCCUGUGGCAGCUUUGGUCAACAUCGGGCUUGCUUUUGGGUGAGCCAGACUUUGGCUGGUUUCCUGAUGGAGGUUAGGGGAAUUGUGAAAUGUGUCUCCUUACACAGAUCGUCCUGAUCAAAUGAAAUAAAAAGGUAUUUUAAAAAUAAUUUGCUUAGUGAAAUACAAAGGAAAUAGGAUGCAUUUCAUACUAUUAAGGCCGAUAUGGUUUUGGGGGAUACGAGGUGUACAUACGUGAAAAAUUUGAAAACAAUUCAGAGUGAAAAAGAAUGGUCGUAUAACCUAAUGUAAAUGACGAGUUAAUGGGUGCGGCACACCAGCAUGGCACAUGUAUACAUAUGUAACAAACCUGCACAUUGUGUACAUGUACCCUAAAACUUAAAGUAUAAUUUAAAAAAUAAAAGAAAAAACAAAAAAGAAUGGUCGUGUAGUAGAGACAGUGGUGAAGAGCAGGACUCUGGAGCCAGGUGUUCUGAGUUCAGAGCCCACUCUGCCACUUACUAGAUCUGAGACCUGGAGGAAGUUAUUUGCCCUUUCCCUGUUUGGCUCUUUUGUAAAAUGGAAAUAUAAGAGUACCCACCUCCUAAGGUGGGCUUAUGAAUUAAUAGAUAUAAAGGUAUGUAAAAUUAUUGCUAUCAUUAGUUACUGUUAUUAAUAGAUCAGAAGUCACAAGCUCCAAUGCCUGCAGUGCCCAUGCAUACCAAAACAGGGAUCACUGGCAACAGAGACAUGGCCCCAGUGGCGUGGAGAUAAAAGAAAGUGGUAGGGACAGUGGCAGACAGCCAUCACCCUACUCCCCAUUGAUUGUGACCCUAAGGGAAUGCUGGUCCUGUGUCGCCAGAGCUUCUGGUAUUGCCAAAGAAGCUUGAAAUCUGGACUUGGUCAAAAAAUCUCUCAACUUGUAAAGGUGGUUGCUUUAUUUUAAAUUACUCUACAAGCCAAAUAAAACACUGUCUCCAGGCUAUUGGCCACCAGUGAAUGACCUCUUUGGACUAACAAUUAAACUCAGCUAUGGAAAUUCAUCUGAUUACUUUAUUGUCACACUGUGAAACAGGGAUUCAUUGUCAUUCCAGAAACAGCCAUUGAGUCCCUGCUUGUGUCCACCCCUGUGCUGGUGCAAAGGAUGUGCCCAAGAAUCAGGCAGACAAUCCAAAGAAGCCACCUGCUCCUUUACAAGUUGUUGACAAUUAAGAAACACCUAGCACUUAAUAGAUUCUCCAUAAAUGUAGGUUCCAACUCCUUCCAUUACCUUUGAUACGUCUAGACCUGAUCCAGUGAGUAUUUGAGGGCCAAUCUCAGUUUCUAAGUAGGAAUAGUGAUAUUGUUGAAAACUAAUGAACCCACCGACAACAUCACAGAAAUACUCCUAUACUUCUUCAAUGUGAGUUUCCUGCUUUUUGUGUCAUUUAUCAUCCCCUUUUAUUUGAUGUCUCUACUCAGGACUUAGGACUCGGGCUGUGAUAUUGUGUAUGUUACCUCACAAUUUUUUUUCUGUUUUUUUUUUCUUUAAGUGUAUAAGCUUCGUUUAUACUUCCAAAGGAUCUUCAAUGGAACUCUACUUCUGUGAGCUAAACCAGUGUCAUACUGCAAUGAAAACUGCAGGUGAUAAACAUUGUCUAAAUAAAAUUUCCAAAAAGUAUUUGACCAAGAAAUACCUUCCCCCUGCAUUCCCCACUUAAUGCAUCUUAAUAUGCCAAGUUACUGAUAUUGUUUGACCUAUUUGGGGAAAUGCUGGCUUGCCAAAUUAUUGCCCUUGUUAGGAACUACAGUUUCUUGUAAUUUCUUACCCACUCCGGCAUCCACACAGGUAUCUUCCAAAGCUCAGACUUUAUUUUCAAGAGGUCUAUCUGAGACCAGUCUGGGUAACCAAGUGAGACCCUGUCUCCACAAAUAAUAAUAAUAAUAAUAAUAAUAAUAAUAAUAAUAAUAAUAAUAAUAAUAAUAAAUUAGCUGGAUGUGGUGGCAUGUGCCUGUAGUCCCAGCUACUUGGGAGGCUGAGGUAGGAGGUUUGUUUGGUCUCAGGAGUUCGAGGUUGCAGUGAGCUAUGAUCAUGCCUUUGCACUCCAGCCUGAGUGACAGAAAAAGACCCUGUCCCCCCCCCAAAAAAAAAGUCUAGCAACUUGAGUGUGGCAGUGGCCAACUUGAUGGUAACUAACAAUGGGAUUGCAAACUCUUUGAGGAAAGGAACUGUCAUCCUGAACUCGGCAUAGCACCAAGCACUGGGUUGUUACAUGGUGGGUGUUAAGCAAAUGCCAUGGAAUGCAACAGACCCCUUUUUCUGCUGCUGUAAACUGUGGUGUUUGAACCUAGUAGUGAAUGGCCCAAGGAAAAAAAUACUGCAGGAAAUAUAGUAAUAGAUGAAUUUGGAUAAAGGGUAUAUGAGUGUUUUGGAGUAUUAUUCUUACAACUUCUCUGCAAGUUUAAAAUGAUAAUCUAAAUUUUAAAAACUUAUUUUCCGUUCAUCAAACUACUCUUAAAAUGUGUAAAACUAUACCUGAAUUUAAAAGCAACAAAACUCAUAUUGCAAGUCUUGGCAAACUGAGAGAUAGGAGCAGAAAACAAUGGUGGAUGCCUAUAAACGGAUCAAGAAAAGGGAGUGAGAAUUUACUGGAAAGAAGGACAAAUGAGCAUCGAAUUCAGCAGGUUUGGGUUUUUCCAGAGAUCAGUGCCUGAUACUGGUUCCCAGAUGAUAUCUCCCAAGAGCCCGGUUCCCAGGGUGUGUUCCAGCCUCUGUCCGCCAGGCUUCCCACCAAGUCUUGUGCCAAUAGUAGUUGCCAGCACAUUCUGCCUCACAAGUUGCUGGCUCCACCACUACUACCCUAUCCCACCUACGUCCAAGAUACGCAUCUGGCUUUUCUGCUUUGAAUUCAGCAAGUCAUCUCCUUUCCUGUCAUGUAACUCCCUCUGUGACUCGGCCUACCCAGCCACACUCCUCAGUGCUUUGUGGCAAAACUCAACCUGACCCCCCUUCAGAGAAAGAGAAAUAAGUGUCGGGGUUGAAGGUUCAGCUGUAAAGUGAUGUUUCCCAUACUCAUAAACUUACAUAGCAAUGAGGAACUGGAGUCUAUUUUUGACUGUUGUAGUGACCUUUGUGCAUACCCUAAAAGACAGAGGAACAUUGAGCUAAUGUAGCCAUCCCAUGAAGCCUCAGUAGCUCUAAUAGGUCCUUUUAGUUGUUGCUAGGGUGCCAGUUCUUGCACUUUAAUACAAUUCUUGGCUGGGCACCAUGGCUCACGACUGUAAUCCCAGCACUUUGGGAGGCCAAGGCAGGAGGAUCACUGGAGGCCAGGAGUUCAAGACCACCCUGGGCAACAUAGCAAGACCUCAUCUCUGCAAGGUAAAAAAAUUAACUGAGUGUGGUGGUUCAUGCCUAUAAUCCCAGCUACUCAGGCGAUGGGAGGAUCCCUUAAGCCCAGGAGUUGGAGACUGCAGUUAGCCAAGAUUGCGCCACUACCCUCCAGCCUGGGUGACAGAGCAAGACUCUGCCUCAAAAACCGACCAGCCAAACAAACAAACAAAAAAUGCAAUUUCUCCCAUCCUAACUCUUCAUAUUAGUAAAUCUUCAAUAAAAUGUAUAUGGGAAAUCAAUAUGGCACCCUCAAACCUAGUUGUAAUAGUCAGGAGAAGACCAUUCUAGCCUUUAAAAUCAGUCCUGUUAAAAAAAAAAUCAGUCCUAUUGACAUCAACGUUUUUACCUCCAGUUCCUCUCCACCCUUCUCUACCUCCUGAUUUCAUGUAGGCGAGCAAUUUAGGACAAUGAGAGUCACAGGAUUUUAAAUAACUUAAUUCCUAGGUGUGUUUGGUACGGAAACAAAGAUAACCCUGUUCAACAGUGAAUUUGUGCCCCUGGGUGAACGGCCAGGUGUUCUUUCAACUGAACUGUGAGACUAAUUUCUUCCUGGCCUCUGGAAACCAGCUGAAGCAGUGGGCCAGCUGGUCUAUCUUCAAUCUUGCAUACCAACAUCUUUCUCUGAUUCACAGAUUUCCUUUAUCCCCAGCACUUCCUCUGGUAUGUGCAUCCCCGAAAGUAAGUGAUAUCUAUUAUUGGAUUUGGGCGUUUUAAAAUCAUUAGCCUUCUGGAGGGGAGGGGAGAGGAAGGAGGCUGGAUGGUUACAUUAGAAUAUUUCCAGAGGGAACCUCACUUUAAUCUCAUCCACCUCUGACUUCUGCACCCCAGAUAACCCCCAUAUUUGGGAGGGAUGACAUCACAGUAACUGACAAUGGAAUUAUCACCAUUGCUCUUUUUAAUAUUUAAAUGAUACACAGACUCAGAGAAAACAAAAUGAGUUUACAUAUAGUCAUAAUAUCCAUAACUAGAGAUAUAAAACAAAAAGCUAUGGAGAUUCUUAUCUAGUGAAGAAAUCUCUUUUAGAAAGUUUCUGAUGACUUUCAGUUGCAAAGCAUAGCUCUUUCACAAUAUAUCAACCCACUUUCAAUGAUUUGAGAUUUGGAGAGGGCCCAGCCAUAGAUUUACCUGGUGAGUCACAGAGUAGAACUUGAUAUGAGAAAGCAGGACCCUAUAUCUAUCAGCCUAAUGGUUCUCAGAAUACCAGGUCAUAUCCAUCAUUUCUUUUCCCAAAUAGCUGUAACAGGCAUACCUCGUUUUACUGGGCUUCACUUUCUUGUGUUUUGGAGAUGGUAUGUCUUUACAAACUGAAAGUUUGUAGAAACCUGCAUUGAGUAAGUCUACCAGUGCCAUUUUUUCAACAACAUGUGCUCACUUCGUGUCUCUGUCACAUUUUAGUAAUUCUUGCAAUCUUUCAAAAGUAUUUAUUAAGAUAAAAAACAAAAGAAACGAUAUAAAAAUAAAGAGAAAAAGGAAGAAAAUUUGUUAUUAUUAUACCUGUCAUAGUGACCUGUGAUCCGUGAUCUUUCAUAUUACUAUUGUAAUUGUUUUGGGGCACAAUGACCCUCAUCCAUAUAAGAUGGUGAACAUAAUAAAUGUUGUGUGUGUUCUGAGUGAUCCACCAACCUGCCAUUCCUUCAUCUCUCUCCCUCUCCUCAGGCUUCCCUAUUCCUUGAGACACAACAGUAUUGAAAUUAAUUAAUAAAGUUAUAGCGUCCUCCAAGUGUUCAAGUGAAAGGAAGAGUUGCACAUCUCUCACUGUAAUUCAAAAGCUAGAAAUGAUUAAGCUUAGUGAGGAAGGCAUAUCAAAAGCAAAGACAGUCUGAAAACCAAGACUUUUGUGCCAAAUAGCCAAGUUGUGAAUGCAGAGAGAAAGAUCCUGCACCAAAUUAAAAUGUGACUCCAGUGAACACAUGAAUGAUAAGAAAGGGAAAAACAGCCUUGCUGAUACGGAGAGAGUUUGAGUGGUCUGGAUAGAAGAUCAAACCAGCCACAACAUUCCCUAAUGUUUGUAAGCCAAAGCCUAAUCCAGAGCAAAGCCCUAAAUCUUCAAUUCUAUGAAGGCUGAGAGAAGUGAGAAACUGCAGAAGAAAAGUUGAAAGGUAGCAGAGGAUGGUUCAUGAGAUUUAAGAAAAGAAACUGUCUCCAUAACAUAAGUGCAAGAUGAAGCAGCAAGUGCUGAUACAGAGGCUGCAGCAAGCUAUCCAGAAGAUCUAGCUAAGGUCAUUGAUGAAAUGGUUGCACCAAACAGCAGAUUUUCAAUGUAGACAACCUUCUAUUGGAAGAAGAUGCCAUGUAGCAUUUUUAUAGCUAGAGGAGAAGUCAAUGCCUGACCUCAAAGCUUCACAGGACAGGCUUACUCUCUUUUUAGGGGCUAAUAUAGCUGGUAACUUUAAGUCGAAGCUAUUGCUCAUUUACCGUUCUGAAAAUCCUAGGGCACUUAAGAAUUAUGCUAAAUCUAUUCUGCCUGUGCUCUAUAAAUGGAACAACAAAGCCUGAAUGAUAGCACAUCUGUUUAUAGUAUGGUUUACUGAAUAUUUUAAGCCCAUUGUUGAGACCUCCUUCUCAGAAAAAAAAAAAAAGAUUCCUUUCAAAAUAUCAGUGCUCAUUGACAAUGCAUGUGGUCACCCAAGAGCUCUGAUGGAGAUAAAUGAGAUUAAUGUUGUUUUCAUGCCUGCUAACACAACACCCAUUCUACAGCCCAUGGGUCAAGGAGUAAUUUCUGCUGUUAAGCCCUAUUAUUUAAGAAACACAUUUUGUAAAGCUAUAGCUGGCAUUCCUCUGAUAAAUCUGGGAAGGAUAAUUGAAAACCUUCUGGGAAGGAUUCACCAUUCUAGACACUGUUAAGAAAAUUCAUGAUUCAUGGGAGGAAGUCAAAAUAUCAGCAUUAACAGGAGUUUGGGAGAAGUUGAUUCCAACCCUCACGGAUGACUUUGAGGGGCUUAAGACUUCAGUGGAGGAAGUUACUGCAGAUGCGGUGGAAAUAGCAAAAGAACUAGACUCGUAAAUGGAGCCUGAAGAUGUGAUUGAAUUGCAUAAUCUCAUGAUCAAACUUAACAGAUAAGUAGUUGCUUCUUAUGGAUCAGCAAAGUGUUUUUUUUUUUUUUUGAGAUAGAAUCUACUCUUGGUGAAGAUACUGUGAACAAUGUUGGAAUAAUAACAAAGGAUGUUGAAUCUUACAUAAACCGAGUUGAUGAAGCAGUAGCAAGGUUUGAGAGGAUUGACUCCAAUUUUGCAAGAAGUAAAAUUGUGAGUAAAAUGCUAUCAAACAGCAUUGCAUGCUACAGAGAAAUCUGUCAUGAAAGGAAGAGUCAACUGUUGCAGCCACCUUCAUUGUCUUAUUUUAAGAAAUUGCCACAACCAGCCCAGCCUUCAACAACCACCACCCCAAUCCAUCAGCAGCCAUCACUGUUAAGGCAAAACAAUUGUGACUUGCUAAAGGCUCAGAUAAUUGUUAGCAUUUUUUAGCAAUCGAGUAUUUUUAAGUAUGUACAUCGUUUUUUACACUAUAUUGUAGUCUGCUAUGCAUGCAAUAGCAUUAUGUCUAAAAAACAUAAUUUUUAUAUGCACUGGGAAGCCAAAAAAUUCACGUGAGCUACUUUAUUGCUAUAUUUAUUGUGGUGGUCUGGAACUGAACCUGCAAUAUUGUCAAUGUGUGCCUGUAUAAGAUUCUCCAUGCACUAAAAAGGACAUUUGAAAGUCAUGAGUAAGUUGUAGAGGAACUCUGGUGACUUGAAGCUUGUUUACUUUUAGCAGUGUGUACCUGUUGACACUUCUAGUAUAAUUUAUAUUCUUUCUCUCAUGAGUAUUUUACAGGAAAUGCGUUUUCCUUUGCUAGUGAUAUAUGCACUUUGGUUUUCAGGAAGCUGUGGUGCUUUGGUUGAAGCUCUCUGUCUGUUUUAGAGAAAAGACUUACAAUGACCUCCUGAUAUAGUUUGGAUAUUUGUCUGCUCCAAAUCUCAUAUUGAAAUUUGAUCCCCAAUUUUAGAGGUAGGAUAUAGUGAGAGGUGUGUGGGUUAUGGAGGCAGAUCCCUCAUGGACAACUUGGUUCUGUCCUCUGGGUAAU